This 332-nucleotide unclassified non-coding RNA is filed under the name soil metagenome. RNAcentral's name for it is "partial contains 5.8S ribosomal RNA, internal transcribed spacer 2, and large subunit ribosomal RNA". The stretch from base 1 to 120 matches the Rfam family "5.8S ribosomal RNA", at positions 35 to 154 of the family's 154-position model. The record is from RNAcentral.
GAUGAAGACCGCAGCGAAAUGCGAUACGUAAUGUGAAUUGCAGAUUUCAGUGAAUCAUCGAAUCUUUGAACGCACAUUGCGCCCGCUAGUAUUCUGGCGGGCAUGCCUGUUCGAGCGUCAUUUCAACCAUCAAGCCCUAGGCUUGCGUUGGAGCCCUGCGGCUGCCGCAGGCUCCCAAAUCCAGUGGCGGGCUCGUCGUCGUACCGAGUGCAGUAAACAUCCUCGCUCAGGGAACGUGACGGGUUCUUGCCGUGAAACCCCCCACAUAUCAAGGUUGACCUCGGAUCAGGUAGGAAUACCCGCUGAACUUAAGCAUAUCAAUAAGCGGAGGA